This 301-nucleotide ribosomal RNA is filed under the name uncultured bacterium. RNAcentral's name for it is "partial 16S ribosomal RNA". It matches the Rfam family "Bacterial small subunit ribosomal RNA", at positions 509 to 807 of the family's 1533-position model. The record is from RNAcentral.
CAGCCGCCGCGGGAACACAGAGGGUGCGAGCGUUAAUCGGAUUUACUGGGCGUAAAGCGUGCGUAGGCGGCUAAUUGAGUCGGAUGUGAAAUCCCCGAGCUUAACUUGGGAAUUGCAUUCGAUACUGGUUAGCUAGAGUGUGGGAGAGGAUGGUAGAAUUCCAGGUGUAGCGGUGAAAUGCGUAGAGAUCUGGAGGAAUACCGAUGGCGAAGGCAGCCAUCUGGCCUAACACUGACGCUGAGGUACGAAAGCAUGGGGAGCAAACAGGAUUAGAUACCCCUGUAGUCCCUGUCUCUUAUAC